This 1939-nucleotide long non-coding RNA is filed under the name Theobroma cacao (cacao). Its description in RNAcentral is "long non-coding RNA (TCAC_LNC001091)". The record is from RNAcentral. Lineage: Eukaryota; Viridiplantae; Streptophyta; Magnoliopsida; Malvales; Malvaceae.
AUUCAAUAAAAUAUUUUAUUCUCUUAUAAACAGAAAUUUUGGAGUUAUGCGUAAAUACUUUUUGUAACGUAAAAACAAAAUAAAUUCAUUCAUACUGUAGCACAAUAAACUAUUAAAUUUACAAUAUCCAGUGGGCCCACAAUAACUAGAAUUAAAGAAGCUGUGAACCUACAGUUUGGAAGACGCAAUCCAUUGAAAAUCCCCGAUGGAACCAGCUAUCUACAAACUACUCUGAUCUUGAAAUGGGUGGAAAUGAGGGUGGUGAGAUUAUAAAAUCCCAGUGGGUAAACAAACACCAUUUAAAUCAGCUAAAGUCGAGUAAAAGGAGACAAUUAAAAUAUCCCAUCAUUUUAAGUAUUUCACAAUUUGAAAAUUCAUCCCAACCCAUGCAAACGGUUGUAUUUCAUUUAAUUUCCCAUUAGGGCUUAUUACUUUCAUAAACAGUUGGCUCAUGCCACCAAAUAUACUCGAUGACACCUUGAUCAGAGGAGUACACUCAAGCCUGCUAAGGCUGUUAAAAUUUUGUAUACUCGUAAAACAUAUUUUUAGUUUGAAAAACACAGCCAUUCCUUGACGUUAGCGGAGUUCAUCAUCACGAGGUGGCUCGUCGUGACGUGAACUCUGUCCAUACCUUAGGAGAUACCCUACGCGUCUCUCCGAUCGAGGUACAUAUAUAUAUCCGGAUUUUGUGCCCCUCUAAUAGGCUGGUCCACAGAAUCCUCCUACUGCAGCAAGCUAAACCCACUAUACAAUAAAAUUUUAACAGCAUGACAGGGCUAAUAUUUUACUACCCAGCCUGCGAGGGUAAAAUAAAAUAAUUCAUACAAUUCAUAAAACAAAGCCCAACCAGUCAUGCCAACACAAUAACAAUAUAACAUAAGCCAUCAAUUUCCAAUCAUAAAUUUGCAACAUGCCAAUGGUCUCCAAUUACUCUAUUUUCAAAAUCGUUAUUUCGUUUCAAGACAAUUUAUAAAAUCUUUUCAUUUAAACACAUUUUUGUUUGCAAAACCUAAACUUAGCCAUUUAACUCAUUUUCAUAAAAUUUCACCAAAACCGAGUUAAAACAUACUUUAGAUAAUUAAAAUGAUGAUAAGGUUACUCAUAAUGUCUAGAGUGGGGAUUUUCGAAAUACUCAGACUACUGAUCCUCGGAUGCAAUUCUCUUGCCUUUAUCGGAGGACUCACCACCUUGACACAGUACAAAAUCAAGAAAUUCACCACAUUGGUACUAAAUUGAAAUUAAACUAAUUUAGACUACUAAUGCAUGAUAUGGAACGCAAAAGGUCUAAAAUUUGCCUAAACACCGUAUUGACCUUUUUCGGUCUUUUACCCGAUAAAUUGAAAUACGCAUCCAAUUUAGCUCCAAUUGAUCCCAUUUCUUUUUCUAAUGCUUCAAAUCAGCAAUGUUCAACCAAAUAACCAAAAAAUCAGCAAAGCCACAUUCAUAUUCCUUCUUGGAAAAAUUCGGCCAAAAUGGUGCAUCAUUGUCAUAAUUUUUCCUACUUGAUUUUCUUUCCAUGAUUCAUUAAUUUCCAUAUCAAAAACCAUGAUUUCAUAAUCAAAUAACCUAAAAUAACAUCACAUUCUUCCUCACCAUUGACUUGAAAAUUCAGCUAAGGCUAGGUAAUGGGAAAAAUGAAUGUUUUUCUACAUAUUUUGUUUACUAACAUGCUAAACUAACACUAAACACUAACAUAUAUCAAAAUCAAAUCAAUCCAACAAUUUUCUCUCUCUAGACCCAUAUGACCAGCCAUGAAAUCACCAUGAAAACAUGCAAUUUAAUCAUGGAAAAUAAGGAGAAAUGCUUAGGAAUAAGAAAACUCAAGCUUAAUAGAAAAAUCUUACCUUUUUCACUUAAUUUCCUUGAAAAUUCACACUUUUUCUUUGAUUUUCUCUCUCUAUGGUUUGGUUUUUAUUUUCUCUCUCUUCUUGCUGGUUUG